Myxocyprinus asiaticus (Chinese sucker) is the source of this 3334-nucleotide long non-coding RNA. RefSeq lists it as uncharacterized. The record is from RefSeq and is a predicted model, not a curated record. The transcript is spliced from 5 exons. NCBI's taxonomy places the organism in Eukaryota, Metazoa, Chordata, Actinopteri, Cypriniformes, Catostomidae.
CUCGUUGUUUACAUCCCGGUCGCGAAGAGGGCACGCUUGUGAGUGGAAUAUGUGAGAUUUUGUAUAUGAGAGUGUUUUAGGAUAUUUAUACUGAUCGGCAUACAGUUGUAUAGCAAACAACUAGAUCCUCUGUAUGUAGGCAAUUGGUCAAUAGUGGCAUCUAUGGAGGAAGAUUUCCCCCCGUGGUGGCACAGAGAAGAAGACCUCCGAGGCGAAACCAUCAAAGACUCAUGAAGUGGACAAUCUUUUCAAGAAUCUGAAGGUUGGCACUCUGAUGCUGGGUUGUGUGAAGGAAGUGUCAGACUUUGAGAUCGUGGUCGGUCUCCCAAGCGGCCUUGUUGGAUAUCUGCCAAUCUGCAACAUCUGUGAUUUUAGAGGAAGUUGUCACCCUUUCUGGACUCCUGACUCCUGGAAUGCUGUUCAGAGGUGUUACACAGAGGCUACAAGAGUCCAAAAUGAAUAAUAUCCCAGAUGCACUUUAUUGUUUUACCAAAAUUCUAAUAAUAACCAAAACAAAAAAAGAAAACUUGUUGCAUAAUGCAGUACUUUUAACUGUAAACAAGCCCGAAACACACUGGAGUCCCCAUGAGGUGUAAAUGAUUGUUUUUUUAUUUCACCUCUAGAGGCCGCUGUAUACUGUUGAACCAAGUUAAAACCACCCUAAUAAUUUAUAAAUUAUAAAUAUUUAUUCAUAUCAAUAGUUUAAAUAAAAUAGUUUAACAAUAUGUAAAUUAUUAUUUGUAUGUGUGUGUUUAUACAAUAUAAUAAUAAUAGUAACGUACAGUAUGUGAUAAUAUAUAAUUAUAAUAAUAUAACACACUCUUUUAACCCAUAAUGUUUUAGCUAUAAUGCUCAGUCCUACUAGUUAAAAUGUGUAUCUAUUAUGUGUAUUUAUACAUGUGUAUAUAUUAUGCUUUUUAAACAUGUAUCUAAUAUUUUAAAAGGUGUAUCUAAUUACAUUAUGGUAUAUUAUGCCAUUAACAUCUUCCCCUCUAAUCAGUGAUCAGUGGCACUAAAGCUUUCCUGCCCAAAAAGAGCACAUCAUCAGAGCAAAAUCCAGCACCACAACAUUUGAUUUCAUAAACAGUUUAACACAGUUCAAUGUAAAUAUUAACAUAAACUCUAGAUCCUGUUGGUUUAAAGUCAUGCCUGGACCAGGACAGAAGCAUCAUUGUGAACUUGUGAAUGAUUGUGAGUGUACUGUUGAUCUCAGGUUUGAAAGUGGGCCAGUAUGUGUUGACCCUGAUAGAGGAGGUGAAGAAUGAUGGGUGUGUCGUGCAACUGUCUAUGAACCCUCAAGCUCUGGGUAAGGCCUGUGCAGAGACUAACCUUUAAAUAUCAGCGUCUGAUAUUUAAAGGUGCACUCGUGCAGCAGUAUGCGAUCAUUUAUUACCCAAAUAUGAUUCUAUUUACCAUAUAGAACUCUAAAAGUCAUUCUUUGGGUAUGCCUUUCAUGAUUGUAAUAAAACACAUUAAAAAAUAUAUAUUUUUAGUUUGUGUAUAUGUUGAUAGUGAAAGUGUCUUUUGAACAAGUUAUGAACAUUCAGCUAACUUCUCACUCAUGAUUCUUGGCUCAUUUCAAGACAACGCGGAGAGUCCCACGUGCCAACCACAUUGCUGAUUCAGUGAGUUGUCAACUCUAGCACCGCUGCGACCAGAUCGUUCUAAAUCAUGAAUUAAUUGUUCAGUCGGUUUUGCAAUCCAACUCAACCAAUUCGUUGAAAAGAAUCAGCUCAAAAGAAUGAGUCGUUUCAUUUUUAAUCGUAUCAUGACAAAUCGCUUUCAUCACAAAUCGGAAGUCACUAUUAUUUGCUUUGUAACUUCGAAAUAGCGAGGAACGUCAGUAGUUUCUCAAAAUGAAAAUAAUCUGAGCAAGAACAGAUACUUAAAGGAAUAUUCCAGGUUCAAAACAAGUUGAGCUCAGUUGACAGCAUUUGUGCUAUACUGUUCAUCACCACAAAAAUUUAUUUCGAUGUGACCCACCUUUUCUAAAAAAAAAAGCAUAACUUGAGGUCACAGUGAGGCACUUACAAUGGAAGUGAAGGGGGCCAAUUCGUAAAUGCUAAAACACUCACUGUUUCAAAACUAUAGCCACAAAAUGUUACCAAUAUGUGUGUUAACAUGAAUUUAGUGUGAUAAAAUCGCUUUCUUACUUUUUCUGUGUAAAGUUAUAACCAAUUUUACAACUUUCUUGCCUUGACGAUGCCUGCUGUAAUUUCUAAAACCAUAAAAAUGAGGAUUUAAACAACUUUACAGCUCAAAUAACAACCUACUGUAUAUUUUGUACAUACUAUAUAUACUAUUUUUAUUCUAUGUUGUGUGUAUUGUAAACUGUACAUUGUAUAUUAUUAUUUGUAUAUUGUGUUGUGUGUAAUUAUGUGUAUAUUAGAUAUGUAAAUUGUGUUGUGUAAAUCUGAUGUUUAUUGUAGAUUGGUAUAUGUCUCAUCACUGUCGUGACUGCUAUGUUGCCCGGAACUGUACCCAAGACUUUCACCCACUAUUACACUUGUGUAUAUGGUUGUGUGACAAUAAAAGUGAUUUGAUUUUAAUAAUAUAUGAGUUGUAACAGAAUAAUUGAUGUAAGUGCUUUUUAUAAAAAUAUAAGCUUCACAUUGCUGCCUUUAAACCCUCAAAAAAAUGGCCCCAUUUACUUCCAUUGUAAGUGCCUCACUGUAAUCUCAAUUUUUAAUCAACAUUAUUAACUUGUCUUGAUCCUGGAAUAUUCCUUUAAAAAAUGCUUUAUGUACAUUAACAAACUAAUCAAAAUGUGAAUUUGUGAGCUACAUGUUGUCAAAUGAACAAACAGUCAGUAACUACACUGGUUUAAUUCUCAUAAUACAUUAAAGGAAUAGUUCACCCAAAAAUGAAAAUUCUCUCAUCAUUUACUCACCCUCAUGCCAUCCCAGAUGUGUAUGACUUUCUUUCUUCAGCAGAACACAAAUGAAGAUUUUUAGAAGAAUAUCUCAGCUCUGUAGGUCCAUAUAAUUCAAGUGAAUGGUGAUCAGACCUUUGUAGCUCCUAAAAUCAAAUAAAGGAAACAGAAAAGUAAUCCAUAAGAAUCCAGUAGUUAAAUCCAUGUCUUCUGAAGCGAUAUAAUAGGUGUGGGUGAGAAAGAGAUAAAAAUGUAAGUCCUUUUUUACUAGUUUUAAGUGAAACUAAACAGGCACCACAUGUGACUUUCAGAAGUGAAAGUGGAGAUUUAGAGUAAAAAAAAUUACUUACAUUUUGAUCUGUUUCUCACCUACACCAGUCAUAUUGCUUCUGAAGAUAUGGAUUACUUUUGUUUCCUUUAUGUGAUUUUUGAAAUUUCGAAGUUCUGUCCAACAUUUGCUUG